This 134-nucleotide long non-coding RNA is filed under the name Mustela putorius furo (domestic ferret). RNAcentral describes it as "lncRNA (ENSMPUG00000027057.1)". Lineage: Eukaryota; Metazoa; Chordata; Mammalia; Carnivora; Mustelidae. The record is from RNAcentral.
CAGAGAUUGGAUUAACUUUGGAGGGCUGCUAUUCCAAUAAACCAGGGACAACAUGCCCAUCUUAUUCAAACAAGAAGAGGAGGAGAAGGAAGGGGAGGAGAUGGAGAAGGUGAAGAAGGAAAAAGGGAAGCAGA